RNAcentral lists this ribosomal RNA (439 nucleotides) under Candidozyma auris. RNAcentral's name for it is "eukaryotic LSU rRNA". It matches the Rfam family "Eukaryotic large subunit ribosomal RNA", at positions 104 to 553 of the family's 3401-position model. The record is from RNAcentral. Lineage: Eukaryota; Fungi; Ascomycota; Pichiomycetes; Serinales; Metschnikowiaceae.
GAGCUCAACUUUGGAAUCGCUCCGGCGAGUUGUAGUCUGGAGGUGGCCACCACGAGGUGUUCUAGCAGCAGGCAAGUCCUUUGGAACAAGGCGCCAGCGAGGGUGACAGCCCCGUACCUGCUUUUGCUAGUGCUUCCUGUGGCCCACCGACGAGUCGAGUUGUUUGGGAAUGCAGCUCUAAGUGGGUGGUAAAUUCCAUCUAAGGCUAAAUAUUGGCGAGAGACCGAUAGCGAACAAGUACAGUGAUGGAAAGAUGAAAAGCACUUUGAAAAGAGAGUGAAACAGUACGUGAAAUUGUUGAAAGGGAAGGGCUUGCACCCAGACACGGUUUCGGCCGGGCCAGCAUCAAGUAGAACGGGGUUAAAAGACUUGGGGAAUGUAGCUACUUCGGUAGUGUUAUAGCCCUUGGUGAUGACCCCUGUUUUGCUUGAGGACAGCG